Long non-coding RNA from Paralichthys olivaceus (Japanese flounder), 1754 nucleotides. RefSeq lists it as uncharacterized. Lineage: Eukaryota; Metazoa; Chordata; Actinopteri; Pleuronectiformes; Paralichthyidae. The record is from RefSeq and is a predicted model, not a curated record.
UCCUCACGUUCCAUAAACGCAUCACCUGUAAACAAUGGACAGGUGCUGCACAGCUGUUACACACAGUGACACACAGUGACACACAGUCAGACACAGUUACUGCAGAGCGUGUGGAUAAGCUGGAAAAGUAAAGUUUGGAGAAGAAGAAAGAUAACAACAUGUAGUAGUGUUUGUAGUAGUAGUGGUGCUGUGGCCAGGUUGAGAGAGUUAUCACGGGACGAGACUCCACGUGUUCUUCUCGAGGAUUAUCCAGGGUAUGUCAUGACUGUAGUGUAAGACCAACCACCUCAAGCUGUCAUUCAUCACAACGUCUAUCACACAGGACGCCAACUCACUCUGGCUUCAGACUGACCAAACUGCUAUCCCAGACUCCAUGAGUUCCCCGCCCCAGUGACCAAAGCUGCUCUAUAUACAGAGGCAUCAUCGCUCUGAUCUUCUGCACAACAUCACGCGCAUGAAAUGAUAUUUCAAUGUUUAAAACAUUUAUUUUAGUUCUCAAUUACUUUUGCGCAAACAGUUGUGUUCAAGCAUUUGUUUCAGCAUGUGCAUGCCUGUGUGUAUGAUAGAGACCAGCACAUUGUUUCUUCUGGGACUCAGAGCCUGGGAAAACUGUGUUUGGGUUCACCCCUCUGUGCUUCUCUGGCUUCACUUACUGUACGUCAUUUUGCAUUAUGCAAAGUUUUCACUCAUUUUCACACACUCUCCUCACCGCUCCCUCUCUGAGCAUGUUAGUGGUAAAUUACAGCUGGCACAAACAUGUUUUCCUGAGCAGCAGAAGGUAGGCAGAGAGAGAAUAGAUGAGAUGCGAAAGGGAAAACAGAGAGAGAGAGAUGUGGUUCUCCAGUUUCAGAGUGUCUGUUGUUAUUAAUGAUGAAGAGAAGAUGGGUUCCUCUGAGAGUUGUCAGAGGUCGAGGGCCAGAGUGGGGUUUCUGGUUGUGGUCCAACAUACACACAGUCAUACAGAUGUCAGCUAUUCCCCCAGUUCGGUUAAAGCCACUCUAGAUUUGUCCAGGAUACAACAUUAUAAUGAACAGUACGGGCCAAAGCGAGUGCAACCUAAUGAGGAGCAGACACCGAAUACCCUGAGAUGAACUCGGAGCUGCAACAACAGCAGUACUGUGACGGUCAUCCUGUAAACAUGAAGUAUAUCAUGAGGAACGUGAAGCCAGAAAACUGAAUGAGGUUAUGUCGAUUAAAAUGAAAAACAAAUCCACGUACGGUUAGUCUUGGUUAUUGUUCCUCCUGAAAGUUUUCCUGUCAGAUGAAGGUCAUCCAAGAAACAGUGACGGCUUUUAUCAGGCAUGUUUUCACCAUCACCACUCGUAGUCAGUGUUUCCAGAAAACGUCAUCAUGCUGACAGGUUUUGCUUUUCGCUGUGUAACAACAGUUCACGCUGAGCUUCUUUGACCAAGAAACUAAUACGAGCAGAAGAGCAGCAGACAAUGAAGCUUUUCUGCAAAAGCAUAAUACCAGUUGCAUGACUGGCACAUCUGAGGGGAAUUUCAGGGAGUUGGCACUUGCAGAGUAACUGAUGUUUUCUUCUUCCUCAAACUAGAUACACAUCGUUGCAGCACAGUAACCAGAUCAUGUUCUUUCUCCCAACUUCUCAGUAUACAGAAUAUACUCUUUUACAUUUGUGGAAUAUACUUUGUUCUACUUCAUGUUAGUUAAUUAAGCAAUCCUUACUGAUGAGUCCACUUGUUCCAUCUAACUCAAUUUGUUUCACCUUUUGUAAAAAUAAAAAAUGGAUACAA